GCAGUCGAGCGGAAACGAUGAUAGCUUGCUAUCAGGCGUCGAGCGGCGGACGGGUGAGUAAUACUUAGGAAUCUACCUAGUAGUGGGGGAUAGCACGGGGAAACUCGUAUUAAUACCGCAUACGACCUACGGGAGAAAGGGGGCAGUUUACUGCUCUCGCUAUUAGAUGAGCCUAAGUCGGAUUAGCUAGAUGGUGGGGUAAAGGCCUACCAUGGCGACGAUCUGUAGCUGGUCUGAGAGGAUGAUCAGCCACACCGGGACUGAGACACGGCCCGGACUCCUACGGGAGGCAGCAGUGGGGAAUAUUGGACAAUGGGGGAAACCCUGAUCCAGCCAUGCCGCGUGUGUGAAGAAGGCCUUUUGGUUGUAAAGCACUUUAAGCAGUGAAGAAGACUCCGUGGUUAAUACCCACGGACGAUGACAUUAGCUGCAGAAUAAGCACCGGCUAACUCUGUGCCAGCAGCCGCGGUAAUACAGAGGGUGCAAGCGUUAAUCGGAAUUACUGGGCGUAAAGGGAGCGUAGGUGGCUCGAUAAGUCAGAUGUGAAAUCCCCGGGCUCAACCUGGGAACUGCAUCUGAUACUGUUGAGCUAGAGUAUGUGAGAGGAAGGUAGAAUUCCAGGUGUAGCGGUGAAAUGCGUAGAGAUCUGGAGGAAUACCGAUGGCGAAGGCAGCCUUCUGGCAUAAUACUGACACUGAGGCUCGAAAGCGUGGGUAGCAAACAGGAUUAGAUACCCUGGUAGUCCACGCCGUAAACGAUGUCUACUAGUCGUUGGGUCCCUUGAGGACUUAGUGACGCAGCUAACGCAAUAAGUAGACCGCCUGGGGAGUACGGCCGCAAGGUUAAAACUCAAAUGAAUUGACGGGGGCCCGCACAAGCGGUGGAGCAUGUGGUUUAAUUCGAUGCAACGCGAAGAACCUUACCUGGUCUUGACAUAUCUAGAAUCCUGCAGAGAUGCGGGAGUGCCUUCGGGAAUUAGAAUACAGGUGCUGCAUGGCUGUCGUCAGCUCGUGUCGUGAGAUGUUGGGUUAAGUCCCGCAACGAGCGCAACCCUUGUCCUUAGUUACCAGCGGGUUAAGCCGGGAACUCUAAGGAUACUGCCAGUGACAAACUGGAGGAAGGCGGGGACGACGUCAAGUCAUCAUGGCCCUUACGACCAGGGCUACACACGUGCUACAAUGGUAGGUACAGAGGGCAGCUACACAGCGAUGUGAUGCGAAUCUCAAAAAGCCUAUCGUAGUCCAGAUUGGAGUCUGCAACUCGACUCCAUGAAGUAGGAAUCGCUAGUAAUCGCGGAUCAGAAUGCCGCGGUGAAUACGUUCCCGGGCCUUGUACACACCGCCCGUCACACCAUGGGAGUUGAUUGCACCAGAAGUGGAUAGCCUAACCUUCGGGAAGGCGUUCACCACGGUGUGGUUGAUGACUGGG
This 1428-nucleotide ribosomal RNA is filed under the name Psychrobacter sp. R3.7. RNAcentral's name for it is "bacterial SSU rRNA". It matches the Rfam family "Bacterial small subunit ribosomal RNA". Lineage: Bacteria; Pseudomonadati; Pseudomonadota; Gammaproteobacteria; Moraxellales; Moraxellaceae. The record is from RNAcentral.